AAGGAGAUCUAUUUCUUGUUAGAGGCGGUAUGAGGAGUGUUGAGUUCAAGGUCAUUGAAACCGAUCCGCCAGAGUAUUGUGUUGUCUCCCCAGACACGGAGAUUUUCUGUGAGGGUGAGCCCGUGAAAAGGGAGGAUGAGGAUAGACUGGAUGAGGUGGGCUAUGAGGAUGUUGGCGGAGUGCGUAAACAGAUGGCUCAGAUUAGAGAGUUAGUAGAGCUUCCUCUCCGACAUCCACAGCUGUUCAAAUCGAUUGGUGUGAAGCCACCCAAAGGAAUCUUGCUCUAUGGACCACCUGGCUCUGGUAAAACACUAAUUGCCCGAGCUGUUGCUAAUGAGACCGGUGCUUUCUUUUUCUGUAUCAAUGGGCCGGAGAUCAUGUCGAAAUUGGCCGGGGAAAGUGAAAGCAAUCUGAGGAAGGCUUUCGAAGAGGCGGAGAAGAACGCACCAUCCAUCAUUUUUAUUGAUGAGAUCGACUCAAUUGCACCCAAGCGGGAGAAGACGCAUGGAGAAGUUGAGAGGCGAAUUGUUUCUCAACUCUUGACGUUGAUGGAUGGACUUAAAUCCCGUGCCCAUGUUAUUGUAAUGGGGGCUACAAAUAGGCCUAACAGUAUUGACCCCGCUCUUAGAAGAUUUGGGAGGUUUGAUAGGGAAAUCGACAUUGGAGUUCCAGAUGAAGUUGGACGUCUCGAGGUCCUUCGUAUCCACACAAGAAACAUGAAGCUAUCUGAAGAUGUUGAUUUGGAAAAGAUAGGCAAAAAUACACAUGGUUAUGUUGGGGCUGAUCUUGCGGCCUUGUGCACUGAAGCCGCCCUUCAGUGCAUUAGGGAAAAAAUGGAUGUGAUCGACUUGGAGGAUGAAACAAUAGAUGCUGAAAUUCUGAACUCAAUGGCCGUGAGCAAUGAACAUUUUAACACUGCUCUCGGGACCAGCAAUCCGUCUGCACUUCGUGAAACAGUUGUUGAAGUGCCGAAUGUCAGUUGGGAGGAUAUUGGUGGGCUCGAGAAUGUCAAACGAGAAUUGCAGGAGACCGUUCAAUACCCUGUGGAGCACCCUGAGAAGUUCGAAAAGUUUGGGAUGUCUCCUUCCAAAGGAGUUCUGUUCUACGGCCCUCCCGGAUGUGGGAAGACCUUGUUGGCAAAAGCAAUUGCCAACGAGUGCCAAGCCAACUUCAUCAGUGUUAAGGGUCCUGAGCUGCUCACUAUGUGGUUCGGUGAGAGCGAGGCAAAUGUUAGGGAGAUAUUUGACAAGGCUCGAGGGUCUGCUCCUUGUGUCCUAUUUUUUGAUGAACUGGAUUCGAUUGCUACACAGAGGGGAGGCAGCAGUGGGGAUGCAGGAGGUGCUGCCGACAGGGUCUUGAACCAGCUGUUGACUGAAAUGGAUGGCAUGAAUG
Molecule: unclassified non-coding RNA, 1392 nt
Filed under: Hevea brasiliensis (rubber tree)
Lineage: Eukaryota; Viridiplantae; Streptophyta; Magnoliopsida; Malpighiales; Euphorbiaceae
Source: RNAcentral